RNAcentral lists this ribosomal RNA (404 nucleotides) under uncultured bacterium. RNAcentral describes it as "bacterial SSU rRNA". It matches the Rfam family "Bacterial small subunit ribosomal RNA", at positions 917 to 1344 of the family's 1533-position model. The record is from RNAcentral.
GGGCCCGCACAAGCGGUGGAGCAUGUGGUUUAAUUCGAUGCAACGCGAAGAACCUUACCUGGUCUUGACAUACACAGAAUCUUGUAGAGAUACGAGAGUGCCUUCGGGAAUUGUGAUACAGGUGCUGCAUGGUUGUCGUCAGCUCGUGCCGUGAGGUGUCAGGUUAAGUCCUAUAACGAGCGCAACCCCUGUGGUUAGUUGCCAUCAUUAAGUUGGGCACUCUGAAAGAACUGCCAGUGAUAAGCUGGAGGAAGGUGGGGACGACGUCAAGUCCUCAUGGCCCUUACGGGAUGGGCUACACACGUGCUACAAUGGCAGUGACAAUGGGUUAAUCCCCAAAAACUGUCUCAGUUCGGAUUGAGGUCUGAAACUCGACCUCAUGAAGUCGGAAUCGCUAGUAAUCG